Podospora conica is the source of this 118-nucleotide non-coding RNA. The record is from the annotation of a GenBank genome assembly. NCBI's taxonomy places the organism in Eukaryota, Fungi, Ascomycota, Sordariomycetes, Sordariales, Podosporaceae.
GCCGGCUUAACUCAGUGGUAGAGUGCGUCACUCGUAUAACAAACUUUCAUCUGUAUCCGCAGAUGGAUGGGCGGGGUUCAAAAUGACGAAGUCGCUUGUUCGAUCCAGGCAGUCGGCA